CCCCUAGAUGUUCUGGGCCGCACGCGCGCUACACUGAACAGUUCAACAAGUCUUAACCUUGGCCGAUAGGUCUGGGUAAUCUUUGAACGCUGUUCGUGAUUGGGAUAGACCUUUGCAAUUAUGGGUCUUCAACGAGGAAUUCCUAGUAAACGCAAGUCAUCAGCUUGCAUUGAUUACGUCCCUGCCCUUUGUACACACCGCCCGUCGCACCUACCGAUUGAAUGGUCCGGUGAAAUCUCGGGACGGCGGCUUGGUCGCUUGCGUCCGACUGCUGAAACUUGAUUAAACCAUAUCAUUCAGAGGAAGGCGAAGUCGUAACA
This 320-nucleotide ribosomal RNA is filed under the name uncultured eukaryote. RNAcentral's name for it is "partial 18S ribosomal RNA". It matches the Rfam family "Eukaryotic small subunit ribosomal RNA", at positions 1470 to 1796 of the family's 1831-position model. The record is from RNAcentral.